Molecule: ribosomal RNA, 253 nt
Filed under: uncultured bacterium
Lineage: Bacteria
Description: partial 16S ribosomal RNA
Rfam family: Bacterial small subunit ribosomal RNA
Source: RNAcentral
GACAGAGGCCCCGAGCGUUAGGCGGAAUCACUGGGCUUAAAGCGUGUGUAGGCGGGCCCGUAAGUGUCUUGUGAAAUCCCACGGCUCAACCGUGGAACUGCUGGGCAUACUGCGGGUCUUGGGCCAACUAGGGGCAGCCGGAACAAUCGGUGGAGCGGUGAAAUGCGUAGAUAUCGCUUGGAACGCCGAAGGUGAAAACAGGCUGCUGGGGUUGCGCCGACGCUGAGACACGAAAGCCAGGGGAGCAAACGGG